GAGAGUAUAGCUUAGUGGUAGAGCACCUAUUCAGCCUGCACAAGGUCCUGGGUUCAAUCCCCAGUACCUCCA
This 72-nucleotide transfer RNA is filed under the name Camelus bactrianus (Bactrian camel). It matches the Rfam family "tRNA". From Rfam's summary of the family: Transfer RNA (tRNA) molecules are approximately 80 nucleotides in length. Their secondary structure includes four short double-helical elements and three loops (D, anti-codon, and T loops). The record is from Rfam by way of RNAcentral. Lineage: Eukaryota; Metazoa; Chordata; Mammalia; Artiodactyla; Camelidae. RNAcentral also lists the same sequence under 1 other name.